This 301-nucleotide ribosomal RNA is filed under the name uncultured bacterium. RNAcentral describes it as "partial 16S ribosomal RNA". It matches the Rfam family "Bacterial small subunit ribosomal RNA", at positions 509 to 809 of the family's 1533-position model. The record is from RNAcentral.
CAGUAGCCACGGGAAUACGAAGGGGGCUAGCGUUGUUCGGAUUUACUGGGCGUAAAGCGCACGUAGGCGGAUCGAUCAGUCAGGGGUGAAAUCCCAGAGCUCAACUCUGGAACUGCCUUUGAUACUGUCGAUCUGGAGUAUGGAAGAGGUGAGUGGAAUUCCGAGUGUAGAGGUGAAAUUCGUAGAUAUUCGGAGGAACACCAGUGGCGAAGGCGGCUCACUGGUCCAUUACUGACGCUGAGGUGCGAAAGCGUGGGGAGCAAACAGGAUUAGAUACCCCGGUAGUCUCUGUCUCUUAUAA